CAGACAAACUCCGAAUGCCAAUUAAUUUAACUUGGGAGUCAGAACAUGGGUGAUAAGGUCCGUGUUCGAAAGGGAAACAGCCCAGACCACCAGCUAAGGUCCCAAAAUAUAUGUUAAGUGGAAAAGGAUGUGGCGUUGCCCAGACAACUAGGAUGUUGGCUUAGAAGCAGCCAUCAUUUAAAGAGUGCGUAAUAGCUCACUAGUCGAGUGACACUGCGCCGAAAAUGUACCGGGGCUAAACAUAUUACCGAAGCUGUGGAUUGUCCUUUGGACAAUGGUAGGAGAGCGUUCUAAGGGCGUUGAAGCAUGAUCGUAAGGACAUGUGGAGCGCUUAGAAGUGAGAAUGCCGGUGUGAGUAGCGAAAGACGGGUGAGAAUCCCGUCCACCGAUUGACUAAGGUUUCCAGAGGAAGGCUCGUCCGCUCUGGGUUAGUCGGGUCCUAAGCUGAGGCCGACAGGCGUAGGCGAUGGAUAACAGGUUGAUAUUCCUGUACCACCUAUAAUCGUUUUAAUCGAUGGGGGGACGCAGUAGGAUAGGCGAAGCGUGCGAUUGGAUUGCACGUCUAAGCAGUAAGGCUGAGUAUUAGGCAAAUCCGGUACUCGUUAAGGCUGAGC
RNAcentral lists this ribosomal RNA (614 nucleotides) under Staphylococcus aureus. Its description in RNAcentral is "partial 23S ribosomal RNA". It matches the Rfam family "Bacterial large subunit ribosomal RNA", at positions 946 to 1561 of the family's 2925-position model. Lineage: Bacteria; Bacillati; Bacillota; Bacilli; Caryophanales; Staphylococcaceae. The record is from RNAcentral.